RNAcentral lists this ribosomal RNA (238 nucleotides) under uncultured bacterium. RNAcentral describes it as "partial 16S ribosomal RNA". It matches the Rfam family "Bacterial small subunit ribosomal RNA", at positions 252 to 504 of the family's 1533-position model. The record is from RNAcentral.
GCGGGGUAACGGCCCACCAAAGCGACGAUCAGUAGCCGGCCUGAGAGGGUGAACGGCCACAUUGGGACUGAGACACGGCCCAGACUCCUGCGGGAGGCAGCAGUGGGGAAUAUUGCACAAUGGGGGAAACCCUGAUGCAGCAACGCCGCGUGAAGGAUGAAGUAUUUCGGUAUGUAAAGCUCUAUCAGCAGGGAAGAAGAAAGUGACGGUACCUGACUAAGAAGCUCCGGCUAAAUAC